This 124-nucleotide ribosomal RNA is filed under the name Escherichia coli. Its description in RNAcentral is "partial 16S ribosomal RNA". It matches the Rfam family "Bacterial small subunit ribosomal RNA", at positions 1 to 117 of the family's 1533-position model. Lineage: Bacteria; Pseudomonadati; Pseudomonadota; Gammaproteobacteria; Enterobacterales; Enterobacteriaceae. RNAcentral also lists the same sequence under 18 other names. The record is from RNAcentral.
AAAUUGAAGAGUUUGAUCAUGGCUCAGAUUGAACGCUGGCGGCAGGCCUAACACAUGCAAGUCGAACGGUAACAGGAAGCAGCUUGCUGCUUUGCUGACGAGUGGCGGACGGGUGAGUAAUGUC